AAUCAAUACGCUUUUCUAGAUUAGGUUGAAAAUAUAAUUAACAGCUGUAAACUAGUGAAAUUCGUAAUUCAUACAGGGGAAGGCUAAUUUUAGCAUGUAGCAUAGCUAAUUAUUAUCCCGCAAGGCACCAUUAGAUAAAAAUAGAAAAGUAGAUAACAUGUAUAAUUGAGAAAUGUAUUUUAUGCUCAAACUGUUUUUUAUUUUCAUUAUACAGAUCCACGUAUCUAUUUGCAACAUGAACGAUAAAUAUUUCUGUCCCCUUUGCUCAUACAAGCUACAGAACCAUUUAGCACAAACUGCUAUGGUUCAACAUAACGAUGCCUCUGAAUGUUCUUGAAACUGUUCUCCAGGAGGUGAUACCAGCACAGGGAGACUCAGCUUACCUCACCUUGGCAUUGACCUGCAAGUGCUUUGAAGCCGUUGUGUCUGAGCCAGUUUUCAGGAAGAAGACUCACUUUGACUUUUUUCACCUAAAACAUGUGAAAUUAGAUUUCAACUACAUGAAAUCGAUUUUUCAUUAACAGGUGAGAUCAACUGGGGCAAAUUUUCAAAAACAUUCAAGGCAGAAAACCGGAUUCCUUUUGCGGUUGUAACGUGUUUUUCCUGCCACCGGUAAUAUAAAGACUGUGGGCUUCACCGGCAAUGGAAGACGAGGAGAGUACCCUGGUUACUACUGUGAUGGCCGACCUGGACACUGCACUGACUGUCAAUACUGAAUGCAAGGAGAAUAUUAGUUGCUUUCCACAGUCUUUCACACAUCUCAGUUAUCACACAUUGUUAGUUUAUUUUUUUUGUGACAUGCCAUUUUAAAUCAUUUCUGCUAAAGAAUAUUUGCCUUUUGACUUGUGCAGUCAUCCUUUUUAAUAAUGUGUUCUUUCAAUAUUAUUUACAUUUUUGAAUGUUCCUUUUGUUGUAGCUCAGUUGAUUUACUUUAUUUACUUUUCAUAGAAAUGGUGCCGUUUCCACACAAAGUUACAUUGUGGCUGUAAUUUGUUGGAGAGAGUAGAACCAAUAAAGUAGUUGUAAAUAUAUUGUAACAGCGUUAUUUAACAAUAGGAUAACCUUGUUUUAAAAAUUUUAAAUGCAAGCAAAGCUAAUAACUUGCAAUAUUUUAUAUGUGUAAAUACAAUGUUUCCUAUACUUUUUGAACAAUGACUGGAAUCAAUACCAUUUUUUUUUACAAACCUGACAUACAGCUAAGUUUAUGUUUUAACAGUCAGAAUCAACUUGGGUUUUUUUGUAAUAAAGCAAGCACAUUACAGAAACAUAUUGUUCAGAUACAAACAAGAUUAAACGAGCAGAGCGAAGGUGUAGUCGGGGUGGAGGUGAUGGAAGCUGAGAUGAGGAGCAGUUGCACACAUCAAGCCGGACUUUAUGAAGGGUGGAGGAGAUGAGCCCGGCGCCGUUAGGCUGGGAUGGAGACACCUGAUCAGGUGAUUGGCUGAGCAGGUGAGAUGAAGACAGUUAUAGUUAGAAUUUACACACUGGUUUAAUUUAUGUAACCAGUGACGUUAUUCAAAAAGGUUUUCAUAUAGAAAAAAGAUCAUUCUCUCUGGCAGUUACCAGUGCAGUGUCUACUGCCGGGGUCCGAGCCCCAAAGAUUAUUUCUUGUCAAAUAAACUUUCUAAAACCUA
Molecule: long non-coding RNA, 1634 nt
Organism: Xiphophorus couchianus (Monterrey platyfish)
Lineage: Eukaryota; Metazoa; Chordata; Actinopteri; Cyprinodontiformes; Poeciliidae
Exons: 2
Source: RefSeq, a predicted model, not a curated record